AUUGAACGCUGGCGGCAUGCUUUACACAUGCAAGUCGGACGGCAGCGCGGGCUUCGGCCUGGCGGCGAGUGGCGAACGGGUGAGUAAUACAUCUGAACGUGCCCAGUAGUGGGGGAUAGCUCGGCGAAAGCCGGAUUAAUACCGCAUACGACCUGAGGGUGAAAGCGGGGGACUUUUGGGCCUCGCGCUAUUGGAGCGGCCGAUGGCAGAUUUGCUAGUUGGUGGGGUAAAGGCCUACCAAGGCGACCAUCGGUAGCUGGUCUGAGAGGACGACCAGCCACACUGGAAGUGAGACACGGCCAAGACGCCUACGGGAGGCAGCAGAGGGGAAUUUUGGACAAUGGGGGCAAGCAUGAUACAGCAAGGCCGCGUGUGUGAUGAAGGCCUUGGGGUUGUAAAGAACGUUUGGCAGGAACGAAAAGUGCCGGGCUAAUACCACGGUACGAUGACGGUAACUGCAGAAUAAGCACCGGCUAACUACGUG
Molecule: ribosomal RNA, 484 nt
Filed under: uncultured bacterium
Lineage: Bacteria
Description: partial 16S ribosomal RNA
Rfam family: Bacterial small subunit ribosomal RNA
Source: RNAcentral